Molecule: ribosomal RNA, 429 nt
Filed under: Parvimonas sp. oral taxon 393
Lineage: Bacteria; Bacillati; Bacillota; Tissierellia; Tissierellales; Peptoniphilaceae
Description: bacterial SSU rRNA
Rfam family: Bacterial small subunit ribosomal RNA
Source: RNAcentral
GACGAACGCUGGCGGCGUGCUUAACACAUGCAAGUCGAACGUGAUUUUUGUGGAAAUUCUUUCGGGAAUGGAAGCGAAAUGAAAGUGGCGAACGGGUGAGUAACACGUGAGCAACCUACCUUACACAGGGGGAUAGCCGUUGGAAACGACGAUUAAUACCGCAUGAGACCACAGUACCGCAUGGUAUAGGGGUCAAAGAUUUAUCGGUGUAAGAUGGGCUCGCGUCUGAUUAGCUAGUUGGAAGGGUAAAGGCCUACCAAGGCGACGAUCAGUAGCCGGUCUGAGAGGAUGAACGGCCACAUUGGAACUGAGACACGGUCCAAACUCCUACGGGAGGCAGCAGUGGGGAAUAUUGCACAAUGGGGGGAACCCUGAUGCAGCGACGCCGCGUGAGCGAAGAAGGUUUUCGAAUCGUAAAGCUCUGUCCUA